GUGGGAAAGUAGGUAGAGGUGGGGGCUUGAAAUGAGGCGGAAAAUUAGGAUGUUUAUGAUGUGGUGGAGGCUUGAAGGUAAAUGGAGAUGGUGGGGAUUCUAUCGGAGGAACUGAUCCUGGUGGUGGCGGUGGACAUGUGUUAAUAUAAUGAGGUGGACCCGAGUAUGACGGUGGUGAUGGAGUUGGUGAGGGGGAACUUUUCGGGGGAGAUUUAUAGACGUAAGGUGAUGGUGAAGGUGAGGGAGAUGGUUGUUCUUUGGAUGGAGAUGGGGGAGAUUUGUAGACGUAAGGCGAUGGAGGAGAUUCAGUUGGGGGUGUUGAUGGUGAACUUGAUGGAGGGGGUUUGUAGGUGAAGGGCGAUGGAGGAGUUUCGGGGGAAGAUGAUGUUGGAGGAGGUGUUAGGCAUGCAUUGAUCGGAGGUGAUGGUGGAGGAGGAGGUGUUAGGCAUGCAUUGAUCGGAGGUGAUGGUGAUGGUGAAGUUGAUGGCGGAGACUUAUAGACGUAAGGAGAUGGAGGAGAUUCUUUUGGUGCCGGAGAUGGAGAUGGUGGAGAUUUAUAUACAAAAGGUGAUGGAGGAGAUUCUUUUGGUUUUGGAGAUGGAGAGGGGGAGGAUGAUGGUGGAGAUUUGUAGACAAAAGGAGAUGGAGGGGAUUCUUUAGGAGUUGAAGGAGAAGAGGGUGGUGGUGGGGGACAAGUGUUGAUAUAGUGAGGUGGAGCUUCAUGUGAAGGUGUUGAUGGACUUGGUGAUGGAGAGGAUGAUGGUGGAGAUUUGUAGACAAAAGGGGCAGGACCAGAUUCAGUUGGUGGAGGUGGUGAGACAUACACGUAUUUUUUAGGUGGUGGAGGUGGUGAGACAUACACGUAAGGAGCUUUUUUAGGUGGUGGUGGUGUAGAUGCAACCAGGGGUGCUGGUGGAAUUUCCUUAACUGGUGGAGGUGGGGAGAGAAAGAGGUGAGGUGGAGGCGGGGAAGGUGAAGGUGGAGGCGGGGAAGGUGGUGGUGAAGGCGGGGGAGGUGAGGGUGGAGGUGGCGAAGGUGGUGGUGAAGGCGGGGGAGGUGAGGGUGGAGGAGGCGAAGGUGGUGGUGAAGGCGGGGGAGGUGAGGGCGGAGGAGGUGAAGGUGGUGGAGAAGGCGGUGGAGGUGAAGGUGGAGGAGGCGAAUGUGGUGGUGACGGUGGUGGAGGUGAAGGAGGGGGCGGCGAAUGCACUGGCGGUGGUGGAGAGGGAGUCGAUGGUGGUGGCGGAGAGGUAUAAGUAUACGGCGGAGGGGAGGCCGGUGGUGGUGGAGAAACAUAACUAUAAGCUGGCCUCCCUUCCACCGCAAAACUACUCAAG
RNAcentral lists this long non-coding RNA (1334 nucleotides) under Daucus carota (carrot). Its description in RNAcentral is "long non-coding RNA (DCAR_LNC000412)". Lineage: Eukaryota; Viridiplantae; Streptophyta; Magnoliopsida; Apiales; Apiaceae. The record is from RNAcentral.